Molecule: ribosomal RNA, 94 nt
Organism: Ursus americanus (American black bear)
Lineage: Eukaryota; Metazoa; Chordata; Mammalia; Carnivora; Ursidae
Source: Ensembl
GUCUAUGGCCAUACCACCCUGAACUCCCCGAUCUCAUCUGGUCUCGGAAGCUAAGCGGGGUCGGGCCUGGUUAGUCCUUGGGUAGCAGAAAACC